RNAcentral lists this transfer RNA (65 nucleotides) under Psylliodes laevicollis. Its description in RNAcentral is "tRNA-Cys". Lineage: Eukaryota; Metazoa; Arthropoda; Insecta; Coleoptera; Chrysomelidae. The record is from RNAcentral.
AGUCUUAUAGUCAAUUAAAUGAUAUUAAAUUGCAAAUUUAAAGGUAAAUUAAAAUUUUAAGGCUU